RNAcentral lists this transfer RNA (162 nucleotides) under Lucilia cuprina (Australian sheep blowfly). It matches the Rfam family "tRNA". From Rfam's summary of the family: Transfer RNA (tRNA) molecules are approximately 80 nucleotides in length. Their secondary structure includes four short double-helical elements and three loops (D, anti-codon, and T loops). Lineage: Eukaryota; Metazoa; Arthropoda; Insecta; Diptera; Calliphoridae. The record is from Rfam by way of RNAcentral.
CCUUCGAUAGCUCAGUUGGUAGAGCGGUGGACUGUAGUUAACGGAAUGCACAAAAAACCAACAACAAAAAAAUCGUUCGCUUCGUUGCUCUUAAAAGCAGCGAAUCGAACACCCCUCUGUGCAGACAUCCAUAGGUCGCUGGUUCAAAUCCGGCUCGAAGGA